GCAUGUCUAAGUACAGGCUUUGGUACAGCGAAACCGCGAAUGGCUCAUUAAAUCAGCUAUAAUUUAUUAGAUUGUUCUCUUACUUGGAUAACUGUGGGAAUUCUAGAGCUAAUACAUGGCCAAAAGCUCCGACCUUCGGGCAGGAGUGCAGUUAUUAGACCAAAACCAGAGCCUUCGGCUCGAACUGUUUGGUGACUCUGGAUAACGACGACCGGAUCGCAUGGCCUUGUGCCGGCGACAUAUCUUUCAAGUGUCUGACCUAUCAACUGACGAUGGUACGUUAUAUGCCUACCAUGGUGAUAACGGGUAACGGAGAAUAAGGGUUCGACUCCGGAGAGGGAGCCUGAGAAAUGGCUACCAACUCCAAGGAUGGCAGCAGGCGCGCAAAUUACCCACUCUCAGUACGAGGAGGUAGUGACGAAAAAUAACAAUGCGGGACUCUAUUGAGGCCUCGCAAUUGGAAUGAGCGCACUUUAAAUCGUUCGACGAGGAUCUAUUGGAGGGCAAGUCUGGUGCCAGCAGCCGCGUAAUUCCAGCUCCAAUAGCGUAUAUUAAAGUUGUUGCAGUUAAAAAGCUCGUAGUUGGAUCUGGGGAUUCGGGUCGGUGGUUUGCCGCUGCUACUGCCGUGCUCGACUCUUACUAGCCGGUGCGUCUCUUGGUGCUCUUCAUUGAGUGCCACAGAGCCUGGCAUGUUUACUUUGAAAAAAUUAGAGUGCUCAAAGCAGGCGCUUGAAUAGUGUUGCAUGGAAUAAUGGAAUAGGACCUGGUUCUAUUUUGUUGGUUUUCGGAACUUGAGGUAAUGAUUAAGAGGACGGUCGGGGGCAUUCGUAUUUCGGUGUUAGAGGUGAAAUUCUUGGAUCGCUGAAAGACGGACAAAUGCGAAAGCAUCUGCCAAGAACGUCUCCAUUAAUCAAGAACGAAAGUCAGAGGUUCGAAGACGAUCAGACACCGUCCUAGUUCUGACCAUAAACGAUGCCAACUAGCGAUCCCGGUGGUUGCUAUAAACGGACUCUGCGAGCAGCUUCCGGGAAACCAAAGUGUUUGGGUUCCGGGGGAAGUAUGGUUGCAAAGCUGAAACUUAAAGGAAUUGACGGAAGGGCACCACCAGGAGUCGAGCUGGCCUUAAUUUGACUCAACACGGGGAAACUCACCCGGUCCGACACCGUAAGGAUUGACAGAUCGAGAGCUCUUUCUUGAUUCGGUGGAUGGUGGUGCAUGGCCGUUCUUAGUUGGUGGAGUGAUUUGUCUGGUUAAUUCCGAUAACGAACGAGACUCUAGCCUGCUAACUAGUUGGCCGUGUUCAUUCGCGCUGUAGACUUCUUAGAGGGACAGAUGCGUUUAGCCAUCGAAAUUGAGCAAUAACAGGUCUGUGAUGCCCUUAGAUGUCCGGGGCACGCGCGCUACACUGAAGGAGUCAGCGUGUGCUAUCGUGCUCGGAAGAGCUCGGUAACCGUUGAAACUCCUCGUGCUUGGGAUUGUGGCUUGUAAUUAUCGCGCAUGAACGAGGAAUUCCCAGUAAGUGCAAGUCAUACGUUGCGCUAGCUACGUCCCUGCCCUUUGUACACACGCCCGUCGCUACUACCGAUUGAAUGGUUUAGCAAGGUACUCAGAUUGGUCUCGAUUCGCACGCAAGUGUGAGAUCGACGGUCGAGAA
RNAcentral lists this ribosomal RNA (1654 nucleotides) under Stenostomum leucops. RNAcentral describes it as "SSU rRNA". It matches the Rfam family "Eukaryotic small subunit ribosomal RNA". The record is from RNAcentral. Lineage: Eukaryota; Metazoa; Platyhelminthes; Stenostomidae.